Molecule: ribosomal RNA, 372 nt
Filed under: uncultured organism
Description: partial 16S ribosomal RNA
Rfam family: Bacterial small subunit ribosomal RNA
Source: RNAcentral
GUAGGUGGCAAGCGUUGUCCGGAAUUAUUGGGCGUAAAGCGCGCGCAGGCGGUUCUUUAAGUCUGAUGUGAAAGCCCACGGCUCAACCGUGGAGGGUCAUUGGAAACUGGAGAACUUGAGUACAGAAGAGGAAAGCGGAAUUCCACGUGUAGCGGUGAAAUGCGUAGAGAUGUGGAGGAACACCAGUGGCGAAGGCGGCUUUCUGGUCUGUAACUGACGCUGAGGCGCGAAAGCGUGGGGAGCAAACAGGAUUAGAUACCCUGGUAGUCCACGCCGUAAACGAUGAGUGCUAAGUGCUAGGGGGUUUUCCGCCCCCUUAGUGCUGCAGCUAACGCAUUAAGCACUCCGCCUGGGAGUACGGCCGCAAGGCUG